AGAGUUUGAUCCUGGCUCAGAUUGAACGCUGGCGGCGUGCCUAACACAUGCAAGUCGAGCGGUAACAGGUGUAGCAAUACAUGCUGACGAGCGGCGAACGGGUGAGUAAUGCUUCGGAAUCUACCCUCUAGUGGGGAAUAACCAGCCGAAAGGUUGGCUAAUACCGCAUACGUCCUACGGGAGAAAGCAGGGGAUCGUAAGACCUUGCGCUGAUGGAUGAGCCGAAGUCGGAUUAGCUAGUUGGUGGGGUAACGGCUCACCAAGGCGACGAUCCGUAGCUGGUCUGAGAGGACGACCAGCCACACUGGAACUGAGACACGGUCCAGACUCCUACGGGAGGCAGCAGUGGGGAAUAUUGGACAAUGGGGGAAACCCUGAUCCAGCGACGCCGCGUGUGUGAAGAAGGCCUGCGGGUUGUAAAGCUACUUUUAGUGGG
RNAcentral lists this ribosomal RNA (436 nucleotides) under uncultured bacterium. Its description in RNAcentral is "bacterial SSU rRNA". It matches the Rfam family "Bacterial small subunit ribosomal RNA", at positions 8 to 443 of the family's 1533-position model. The record is from RNAcentral.